AGACGUGUGUUCUUCGGUUGUAGCUGGCUAUGCUGAAAACUCCAUCACAGAGUGCAGAGUGUGCCCAUGUUUCCGUGACUGUGAUGAAAUCUGGGUUGAUACUUUUGACAUAGGAGUCAAAAAGAUGCACCUUGUUGCAUAAACUACGGGCAUUCAAGGACAGCAGUUUAUAUCUGGAUUUCAGAUGAUGAUAUACAGGGGAUGGCUGAUUGUUCUUGGUUAGUUUCCCAAGAUUUUUGUAUUGCCAGUUGUUGUGGGUGUAGUCUGCUCAGUCCAACUGGCAUCCCUUAUCCACGACUCACCAGACUUGACAAA
Molecule: long non-coding RNA, 315 nt
Organism: Octopus sinensis (East Asian common octopus)
Lineage: Eukaryota; Metazoa; Mollusca; Cephalopoda; Octopoda; Octopodidae
Exons: 3
Source: RefSeq, a predicted model, not a curated record